GCGGCUUUCGUCUCUAUGACCCCAGGAGGCGGUCCCCGGUGUCUUGCGCAGCGCGCGCGAAGGGGGCGCGCGUCAGUUCCGCGCGGUGCUGUCGGGGAACCAUGGCUCCUCAGAGAGAAAAUGUCAAUUUAUUAUUCAAGUUAUACUGCUUGGCAGUGAUGACCCUGGUGGCUGCAACUUACACCAUAGCUUUAAGAUACACAAGGACAUCAGACAAAGAACUCUACUUUUCAACCACAGCCGUGUGUAUCACAGAAGUUAUAAAGUUAUUGCUAAGUGUGGGAAUUUUAGCUAAAGAAACUGGUAAUCUGGGUAGAUUCAAGGCAUCUUUAAGAGAAAAUGUCUUGGGGAGCCCCAAGGAACUGAUGAAGUUGUGCGUGCCUUCCUUAGUGUAUGCUGUGCAGAACAACAUGGCUUUCCUGGCUCUCAGCAAUCUGGAUGCAGCAGUAUACCAGGUGACGUACCAGCUGAAGAUUCCUUGUACUGCUCUAUGUACUGUUCUAAUGUUAAACAGGACGCUCAGCAGGUUACAGUGGAUUUCAGUUUUUAUGCUGUGUGGAGGAGUCGUCCUCGUACAGUGGAGACCAGCCCAGGCCACAGGCGUCGUGGUGGAACAAAAUCCAUUAUUAGGGUUUGGUGCUAUAGCUGUUGCUGUAUUGUGCUCAGGAUUUGCAGGAGUGUAUUUUGAAAAAGUUUUAAAGAGUUCAGACACUUCCCUUUGGGUGAGAAACAUUCAAAUGUAUCUAUCAGGGAUUGUUGUGACAUUAGUUGGCGUCUACUGGUCAGAUGGAGCUGAAAUUAAAGAAAAAGGAUUUUUCUAUGGUUACACAUAUUAUGUCUGGCUUGUCAUCUUUCUUGCUAGUGUUGGAGGCCUCUACACUUCUGUUGUGGUCAAGUACACAGACAACAUCAUGAAAGGCUUUUCUGCAGCAGCAGCCAUUGUCCUUUCUACCAUUGCUUCAGUGAUGCUGUUUGGAUUACAGAUAAGUAUGUCUUAGUUUGUACUGUAAGUUUUUAACAUGGAAGAGCUUCUCACUUCCUUGGUUCAUUUCAUCUUUCAUUAAGUAUGGCAGUUGCUUGUAGAGUUUACAGAAAUUCCUAGUUUUGUUACAAUUUAUCCUACAGGCGCAGCAGUUCAUAGUUGUGUGGAAUGUGUGUCCACAGUACUUAGGUUGUUUAAAUGGUUCUAGAGCUGAAAGUGAGCGGGCUACUCAGUAGAAAGAGUUUCUGCAGACAAAGCCUCCCUCGUUAAUUUCCGCAGUGGACUUAGAGUAAACUUGGCUUUUUAUUCUGAGGUAAGAACAGAAAACUUCUUUCAUUUCCCCCUUAGUUUGUACCUUCCUGUUUUAGACUUGGAUAUAAACUGGUUUUGAAACUACAAUCCAAAUCUAAAUUUUCUCUUUAAUAAAGCUAUUUGUUUCAUUUAGUAUGUAAUUAAUACAAAAUUCAUUACUAUAGCUGGCAUUCUAGGACCGCCUUUAUGCUGGUCCUUCUAAUAUAAUUUUCCCUAGCCAUAUCCACCAUUAGUUGGCUUCUGAAUUAUUUAAGCAGUGAUAUUGACUUAAUAUUUCCUGGUGUUUUUAUGGUGUGAUAAUUUUCUUUACUGAUCAGUUAUACCAUAAACUAAUACAUGAGAAAAAUCUGUCAAAUAUCAACAUUAAGUAAAAGAAACAGAUCUGGCCUAUAUUUACAAUUGACUUGUUAUAAAUGCAAAUAGAAGAAUACCAACCUUGUAGAAAUCUUAGAAAAAAAUUUGAUAGUUUGGUUCAAAUCUUGCUUGUACCAUUUAUUAGUUGUAAAACCUUGGGGAAGUUACUUAACCCAUGUCUCAGUUUCUUUGUCUGUAAAAUGGGAAUGAUAAUAACAUCUGUCUUGUAGGGUUGUUUUAGGCAAAGUGCUUAGAACAGUGCCUGGCACAAUAGUAGCACUCAGCUUUGCUCUGGGUACUCUUCUUGUAUGUGUUUCUAUAUAUCUCUAUGGAUUACCCAGACAAGACACUACAUCCAUCCAACAAGGAGAACCAACUUCAAAAGAGAG
Non-coding RNA from Delphinapterus leucas (beluga whale), 2037 nucleotides. The record is from RefSeq and is a predicted model, not a curated record. NCBI's taxonomy places the organism in Eukaryota, Metazoa, Chordata, Mammalia, Artiodactyla, Monodontidae.